UCCCGCACGCACACAGCACAGAAGCACACCGACUGAGGAUUCAACGUGCAGAGGAUCUGCUUUGGUCAAAUCAAGAAUACCAGUUGAUGACUGCUGUGCAGUGGAAAUAGAGGAUCUACUUAGAUAAAUUCAAGAUGAAUGUAGAAAAUUUCUUCCACAGACCGAUCAUUUUGCUUGAUAAGACCUCAAUAUAUCGUCAGGAGCAACAGGUAUUAGUUUUGUAUUCCUUGAUAUGUUUUUUCCCCCUCCAAAAAUGGGCAGCCUGUGACUUGCAUUUUAUUAAUCACCAAGGGCCACAGUUUCAGCUAUAAAUCUUCUUUGCUGUUCUGCUGAAGAAACAUAGUCACUGACAUCUUGGAUGGCCUGAGGAUCUUUGCAGAAUUCAAUCGCAUAUCUCGGAUCUGAGUUCUGCGCAGCAUUGGACACGGACUCUGCACUUCUGAAAUUUUCAAGUUGAUUAAAAGUCAUCUGAGGUUUGCACUCCAGUACUUCAGGGUCUUCCAGUCAUCCUGGAGGAAGACCCAGAGGAAUUUUACAGGAUGUGCUUCGUAAGUAUUAUUGAAUUUUCUGCACUCAUCAUUUUGUUUUAUUCAAUGAGAAUAUAGGUCAGGUUAUGAAAAAUUAUAAAA
This is a long non-coding RNA of Sinocyclocheilus anshuiensis, 629 nucleotides long. RefSeq lists it as uncharacterized. The record is from RefSeq and is a predicted model, not a curated record. NCBI's taxonomy places the organism in Eukaryota, Metazoa, Chordata, Actinopteri, Cypriniformes, Cyprinidae. The transcript is spliced from 5 exons.